AGUGAACGCUGGCGGUAUGCCUAACACAUGCAAGUCGAACGGCAGCACAGUAAGAGCUUGCUCUUACGGGUGGCGAGUGGCGGACGGGUGAGGAAUACAUCGGCAUCUACUUUUUCGUGGGGGAUAACGGAGGGAAACUUACGCUAAUACCGCAUACGACCUACGGGUGAAAGCAGGGGAUCUUCGGACCUUGCGCGAUUCAAUGAGCCGAUGUCGGAUUAGCUAGUUGGCGGGGUAAAGGCCCACCAAGGCGACGAUCCGUAGCUGGUCUGACAGGAUGAUCAGCCACACUGGAACUGAGACACGGUCCAGACUCCUACGGGAGGCAGCAGUGGGGAAUAUUGGACAAUGGGCGCAAGCCUGAUCCAGCCAUACCGCAUGGGUGAAGAAGGCCUUCGGGUUGUAAAGCCCUUUUGUUGGGAAAGAAAAGCAGCGGGUUAAUACCCCGCUGUUCUGACGGUACCCAAAGAAUAAGCACCGGCUAACUUCGUG
RNAcentral lists this ribosomal RNA (492 nucleotides) under uncultured bacterium. RNAcentral's name for it is "partial 16S ribosomal RNA". It matches the Rfam family "Bacterial small subunit ribosomal RNA", at positions 29 to 507 of the family's 1533-position model. The record is from RNAcentral.